CUAAGAUGCGAGGCGGCGAAAGUACUGACGCACGUGGCGUCCCAUAAUAAGCACUUACCUCUUUCCCACGGCACCAGGGUCAAGCCGUCAGGCCUUUUGCCCGCAACGGCAGCAGCUCAAGGCAUGGUGACCGUUGCUCUCCACAGUGGAACCGCAGAUGCAUUGGUGUGGUUGGCAUACGUCACAACCUAAGCGGAGAGCAACGGCCACACGCAUCGAGUCGCUGUCUAGUAAGGUGCCUAAGUUUGGGGAGGGAAGAGCGUGUAGCCAGGCUCCAGAUUCAGGCCUGGAGGCAGCGAUUAGCCUGGCUCUGUCAGAACCAGCAGCGGUAU
Cydia splendana is the source of this 332-nucleotide long non-coding RNA. RefSeq lists it as uncharacterized. The record is from RefSeq and is a predicted model, not a curated record. The transcript has 2 exons. NCBI's taxonomy places the organism in Eukaryota, Metazoa, Arthropoda, Insecta, Lepidoptera, Tortricidae.